RNAcentral lists this long non-coding RNA (491 nucleotides) under Mytilus galloprovincialis (Mediterranean mussel). The record is from RNAcentral. Lineage: Eukaryota; Metazoa; Mollusca; Bivalvia; Mytilida; Mytilidae.
UGUGAAAGUACUUUGAAGUUGAUCAAAGCUAGAAAGUGAUGUUUUCUUAGACUACAAGCUUUCUGUAUAAUAUAAUUGCUGGAAAAAUUUAGUUUGAUACCUUGAAAGUUUAGUAACCUUCCAAAAAUAUGAAAAAAAGAUGUGGUAUGAUUGGCAAUAAGAUAACUAUCCACAAGAGUCUAAUAAACAUUAAUUAACAGCUAUAGGUCACCGAAUAAAGCAUUAAAUGGUACGUACCAAAAAGUAACUACUCUUGUAUGUGAACAAAUGGAAACAUAGAAACGAAAUAUAUUUGAUACAAACUGCAAUUUUCCUGACUUGGCACAUGGCAUUUUAAGCAAAAUGCUGGAUUGAAUUGAUUUUAUGGCUAGCUAAAGUCUCGCUUAAAUGGCAAUGUUAAAAUACAUCGCUAAAAUAACAACAUUAUGUGUCAGGAAUACAGAACAACCUAACGCAAAAACACUGAGCAAAGAGAAACGCAUACAUAAAUA